This 253-nucleotide unclassified non-coding RNA is filed under the name uncultured Planctomycetales bacterium. RNAcentral's name for it is "contains 16S-23S intergenic spacer region". It matches the Rfam family "Bacterial small subunit ribosomal RNA", at positions 524 to 776 of the family's 1533-position model. The record is from RNAcentral. Lineage: Bacteria; Pseudomonadati; Planctomycetota; Planctomycetia; Planctomycetales.
CACGUACUGUGCGAACGUUAUUCGGAAUCACUGGGCUUAAAGGGUGCGUAGGCGGCCAAUCAAGUCAGGUGUGAAAUCCCACGGCUCAACCGUGGAACUGCGCUUGAAACUGGUUGGCUUGAGUAAGACAGGGGUGUCUGGAACUUCUGGUGGAGCGGUGAAAUGUGUUGAUAUCAGAAGGAACACCGGUGGCGAAAGCGAGACACUGGGUCUUAACUGACGCUGAGGCACGAAAGCCAGGGUAGCGAACGGG